GCUGAGCUUGAGCACAUGCUAUCCAUGGUGUUCUCGAUGAACUCGGCCCUUCGCCUGACUGAUACAUUUACUAGGCUCACCACCAGAACCCCGAAAACUAUGACCAGAGCUGCAGAUAUGGCCACAAUUGAUGACGCACUGAGAAAUCUCCUAUGUUGUGGGCUCAUAGGGUUUGCCUCUGUGACCAUUGGCUCUCUGUUGCUGGUGUUUCGUAAUCCUGGGCCGUAAGCGAAUGGGUUGAGGACCAGCGGCUUGGGGACGUCCAACAUGCAUGGUUCGGUAACAAGGGGAGUGCAGAGGCCGAGGUUUCCCUGUAAUGCGCUCUGGUCGAGGCUUGGGAAAAUGCCACCAUUUGGGAGGCGGCCGACAAGGUGGUUGUGGGAGAUGUUCACUGCCAGGAGACUGUCCAAGCUUCCGAGCUGCUUGGGGACCUCACCAGUUAGCUUGUUGUAUUCCAAGUUGAGGAUCUUGAGCUUCUUUAAUCGGGACAUGGCUGUAGGAAUCGAACUAUUCAGUGAAUUGUGUGAUAAGCUCAGUAAGUAGAGAGACGAGCAGUUCCCAAUCUCCUCCGGUAUCGGGCCACUCAGUGAAUUGUCAUCCAGCUGAAGAACAGCAAUGCUACCGGAGUCGCACAAUUCUCCGGGUAUCGCUCCGUUCAGCCCACUCCGCCUGAGGUCCAGCACCGACAGAUCACGAAAAUACCCAAGCUCCGGCGGCACUCUCGUCCACAGCUCAUUCCAUGACAGAUUAAGAUACCUCAGUUUGAAGUACAAAGCCACCUCUG
RNAcentral lists this unclassified non-coding RNA (784 nucleotides) under Hevea brasiliensis (rubber tree). Lineage: Eukaryota; Viridiplantae; Streptophyta; Magnoliopsida; Malpighiales; Euphorbiaceae. The record is from RNAcentral.